This 1551-nucleotide long non-coding RNA is filed under the name Macaca fascicularis (crab-eating macaque). RNAcentral's name for it is "lncRNA (ENSMFAG00000064961.1)". The record is from RNAcentral. Lineage: Eukaryota; Metazoa; Chordata; Mammalia; Primates; Cercopithecidae.
CAUGUAAGGAAAAAUUGGCACAGAUAAAUUCAUUAAUUUGCCCCAGAUAAUACAUGUAAGUAACAGACCUUCAAAUGGAAUCAAAGCUACCAAAUGCCAGAGUCUGUGCUCUUAAUAUCUUUAGUCAAUGCUUUCUCUACUCUGAUACAACUGUCAAGCACUGUAUUAUACUGCUUCGUGUUGUGUCAUAACAAAUCAGAUUGUAACUUCAGAAAUCCUGGAUGUCUCUGAGACACAGAAAAACAACUGUGACUGUAACAUAUGGGGAACUACUGCCAGAGUCACAGACAACUGAAAGUAAAUUGAGGAAGAACAUGAAAACAGAUGCUCACACAUUACAUGAUGUUCAUAAAAUUGCUAACUGCAUUGGCUACUAAUGAAAAUUAUCCCGCCAUGGAAGCCCUAGCUAAAAGUUUAUUAGUAUCCAUUGAGUAGUAUACAUACAACACUUAUCGAUUUACAUCGAUAAGGCAAAAAAGUGAUGCAAUAUUUCAUUUUCCCCUCUACCUAAUACUGUCUUAAAUUUUAUGCACGUGACCUGUAUUGUUUCCAUUACAUACAAGUUGCUUAGUACUAAAUUAACAAGGAGGGAAGUAAAGAAUGUACUGAAAAUAAGGGAUUGUAAAUCAUUUAUGUAGAAUUAUGAAAGAUAAUGAUAAAGUAACUGGAUUCAUGUAUGUGCUCACAUGCAGAAUGCUGCCCCCUGUACAAAUGCAUGACUACUUGCCAAUGCUAACUGCAUCAGGCCUAAGUACACACUGAAUUAUCACUUGAAUUCAGAUACGAAGGAUAAAUAAUUCAGUACUAAAAAAAGUUGUAUCUCUGCCUUUCUUCAAUUUUCAAAGUCAACAAAUUAAAGUUUUAAAAUAUUUAAUGUUGUUUUUCUGCUGCAUAAUGGAUUCAUUGUUGUAUUUGUCUUGCUUAGAUGUUCAGAGCUAAUGAGCCUAUAAUCAUGGAUUUGAGCCCUUUGGGGGGGCCAAUUAACUUUAAUAUAUCUUUCAACUUCAAACUCUACCUGAAUCCUACAUAAGAAUUCACAAUGUAUGCUUUACUUACUAAGAUGAACAAGAAAUAAAGAGUGCAUUAAAACAAAUAAAUAUGUAAUACCUCGUAGAAGAGUUAUCUCUCAAAUCUUUCAAGCUUACCUGAGGGUAGUCAGAAGCACUACCAUUACAUUGUAAAACAGAUUAUAGAAUUUAGGAGUGAGAAGGCCAGAGAGCCUUUAUUGCAGUGGUUUGCUAUUGAAAUGUGCAAACAAUAUGAUAUUUGAGUCAGUACUACAGACUGUUUAAACAGGUACCACAUCUAAAGCCAAGCAUAGUAGUAUGUACCUUUGGUCCCAGCUACUCUGGAGACUGAGUUAGGGAAUCUCUUGAGCCCAGGAGUUCCAGAGCAGCCUGAGCAAUGUAGCAAGAACCCAUCUCUUAAAAAACAAAGAAAAAACAGUCCAUGAAACAUAAAGUUUGAAAUAAAGAUUAAAAGAUAUGCAUCAGGAAAAUGUAAUCCUUUCCCAUCCCACAUGCAAAAAAAAAAAAAAAAAAAAAAAAAAAA